This 876-nucleotide ribosomal RNA is filed under the name Xanthomonas sp. cp06.11. RNAcentral's name for it is "bacterial SSU rRNA". It matches the Rfam family "Bacterial small subunit ribosomal RNA", at positions 42 to 903 of the family's 1533-position model. The record is from RNAcentral. Lineage: Bacteria; Pseudomonadati; Pseudomonadota; Gammaproteobacteria; Lysobacterales; Lysobacteraceae.
GCAGGCCUAACACAUGCAAGUCGAACGGCAGCGCGAGAGAGCUUGCUCUCUUGGCGGCGAGUGGCGGACGGGUGAGGAAUACGUCGGAAUCNUGCCUAUUUGUGGGGGAUAACGUAGGGAAACUUACGCUAAUACCGCAUACGUCCUACGGGAGAAAGCAGGGGACCUUCGGGCCUUGCGCAGAUAGAUGAGCCGACGUCGGAUUAGCUAGUUGGGGGGGUAAUGGCCCACCAAGGCGACGAUCCGUAGCUGGUCUGAGAGGAUGAUCAGCCACACUGGAACUGAGACACGGUCCAGCACUCCUACGGGGGAGGCAGCAGUGGGGUAUAUUGGACAUGGGCGCAAGCCUGAUCCAGCCAUGCCGCGUGGGUGAAGAAGGCCUUCGGGUUGUAAAGCCCUUUUGUUGGGAAAGAAAAGCAUUCGGUUAAUACCCGGGUGUCAUGACGGUACCCAAAGAAUAAGCACCGGCUAACUUCGUGCCAGCAGCCGCGGUAAUACGAAGGGUGCAAGCGUUACUCGGAAUUACUGGGCGUAAAGCGUGCGUAGGUGGUGUGUUAAGUCAGAUGUGAAAGCCCUGGGCUCAACCUGGGAACUGCAUUUGAUACUGGCAGGCUAGAGUGCGGUAGAGGAUAGCGGAAUUCCUGGUGUAGCAGUGAAAUGCGUAGAGAUCAGGAGGAACAUCCGUGGCGAAGGCGGCUAUCUGGGCCAGCACUGACACUGAGGCACGAAAGCGUGGGGAGCAAACAGGAUUAAGAUACCCUGGUAGUCCACGCCCUAAACGAUGCGAACUGGAUGUUGGGCUCAACUUGGAGUUCAGUAUCGAAGCUANCGCGUUAAGUNCGCCGCCUGGGGAGUACGUCGCAAGACUGAAACUCA